UCUGGAGGUUUGGCGCCCUCUGUAAUCUCAGCUUCUGGGAGGUUUGUUUGUGGGUUGAUUUGAGAUUGGGAGUCCUGUUUUCUGAUCAGGCAUGUGGACGGUUUGUCCGUGGUAAGCUUGUCAUCAAUACAUAGAUUUUUAUGCGGAAGCAUUGGAGAUCUAGGUUGAUAAUGAGAGAGGCACCGGGCUAGAAUCGAAAGAGAGCAGCCAAAACUUUCCGUGGCAAUGCAGUACUGCGGAUAGCAGACCAGAGUGAAUCUGCCAGUAACAGCCCAAUCAAUAUAAUUAUACCAUAAACUUU
This 301-nucleotide signal recognition particle RNA is filed under the name Belgica antarctica. Its description in RNAcentral is "metazoan signal recognition particle RNA". It matches the Rfam family "Metazoan signal recognition particle RNA". Rfam says of the family: The signal recognition particle (SRP) is a universally conserved ribonucleoprotein. It is involved in the co-translational targeting of proteins to membranes. The record is from RNAcentral. Lineage: Eukaryota; Metazoa; Arthropoda; Insecta; Diptera; Chironomidae.